GGAAGGAUCAUUAAAGAGAGCUCCGGCUCCUUUCAUGCCAUCACCAAACUGAUGUUCUCUUCUUUGUUGCUUCCACCCAUAGCGGCAGGUUACAUGCUUGCUUCAGCGGGUGGAAGGUGUAUUUCAAAUCACAUUUAUUGUUCAAGCCUGUUAUUUUGUCUGAAUUAGAGGGAAAAUGCUUCAAAACUUUCAACAACGGAUCUCUUGGCUCCUGCAUCGAUGAAGAACGCAGCGAAAUGCGAUAACUAAUGUGAAUUGCAGAAUUCCGUGAAUCAUCGAGUCUUUGAACGCACAUUGCGCCCCAUGGUAUUCCGUGGGGCAUGCCCGUCUCAGCGUCAGUGAAAAUAUAUCAACUCCUAGUUUUUUUUUAAAAAGCUAGGGAUUGGAUAAGGUCGGGGAAGCUGCGGCCUUGAAUGCCGCAGCUCUUUGAAAAUCUAUGGAUGUUCAAGCCAUCAUGCGGGGAACGUGAUGAUAAUAUUUUCGUUCUGCAGCUGUUUACUUGGAUCUUAACAAAACUCACAUGCCUCUGGCAUUUUUUCAAUGUUUGACCUGAGAUCGGGUAGGGAUACCCGCUGAACUUAAGCAUAUCAAUAAGCGGAGGAAAAGAAACCAACAGGGAUUGCCUCAGUAACGGCGAGUGAAGCGGCAAAAGCUCAGAUUUGAAAGCUGGCACUUUCAGUGUCCGCGUUGUAAUCUGUAGAGGAGUGUUCGGGCGUGGCUCUGGCCCAAGUUCUUUGGAACAGGACGUCAUGGAGGGUGAGAAUCCCGUUCAUGGUCGUUGUCCUAUGCCCUUGUGAACCUCCUUCAAUGAGUCGAGUUGUUUGGGAAUGCAGCUCUAAAUGGGUGGUAUAUUUCAUCUAAAGCUAAAUACCAGCAGGAGACCGAUAGCGCACAAGUAGAGUGAUCGAAAGAUGAAAAGAACUUUGGAAAGAGAGUCAAACAGUACGUGAAAUUGUUGAAAGGGAAGCACUUGCACCCAGACUUGCCCACGGUUGAUCAGCCGCCAUUUUUUGGUGGUGCACUCUGCCGCGGGCAGGCCAGCAUCGGUCAGAGCGGUGGGACAAAGGUGUGGGGAAUGUAGCUCCUUUGGGAGUGUUAAGCCCUGCAUGUCAUGCCACCUGUUUUAACCGAGGGCCGCGCAUUUUGCGAGGAUGCUGGCUUAAUGGGUGUAAGUGACCCGUCUUGAAACACGGACCAAGGAGUCUAACAGCUGUGCAAGUGUUUGGGUGUAAAACCCUCACGCGCAAUGAAAGUGAAUGUAGGUGGGAACCGCAAGGUGCACCAUCGACCGAUCCUGAUGUUUUCGGACGGAUUUGAGUAAGAGCAUGGCUGUUGGGACCCGAAAGAUGGUGAACUAUGCCUGAAUAGGGUGAAGCCAGAGGAAACUCUGGUGGAGGCUCGCAGCGGUUCUGACGUGCAAAUCGAUCGUCAAAUUUGGGUAUAGGGGCGAAAGACUAAUCGAACCAUCUAGUAGCUGGUUCCGGC
RNAcentral lists this unclassified non-coding RNA (1485 nucleotides) under uncultured fungus. RNAcentral's name for it is "sequence contains 18S rRNA gene, ITS1, 5.8S rRNA gene, ITS2, 28S rRNA gene". The stretch from base 546 to 1485 matches the Rfam family "Eukaryotic large subunit ribosomal RNA", at positions 1 to 961 of the family's 3401-position model. The record is from RNAcentral. Lineage: Eukaryota; Fungi.